RNAcentral lists this long non-coding RNA (671 nucleotides) under Cyanistes caeruleus (blue tit). RNAcentral describes it as "lncRNA (ENSCCEG00000021520.1)". Lineage: Eukaryota; Metazoa; Chordata; Aves; Passeriformes; Paridae. The record is from RNAcentral.
GGAUGGUGUCCUGGGCUGAUGACACAAUUCAAUUGCGAGGGGCAGUACUUCACCAGGCUCACAGAGGGAACCUGACAAAGCCCCACUGCAAUUUAUACCGGCAGCAAUGUAGGUAUUUAUAUGAAAAAUCUGGGGAUGGACUCAGCCAGCUGUUGCUGCUGCCUUUUGCAGAGAAGUCAGAGCCAUGCUUACGGCAGAAUCAAAGAUGGUCUCCAAGGGAAGGAAGUGAAGCGUUGACAAUGGUGAGGACCUGUUUGCUUCAGGAUUGUUCCCAACAGCCUGUUCCUGAUGGUGUUACUCAGCCUCCUUCUGAGUGCCUCAGAGACAAAAGGGCACCUUUAUCCAUGGCAAGGAAGCUCUCAAGUGGCAAGGUUUUUGCUCAUAACCUGAGCUCUAAGAGCUUUGGGUGGAAACUGGAUGGGAAGAGAAUGUUCCAUGUCAGAGCUGCACACAUGCCUGUGUCCUCCUCUCCUGAGAGUGUGGAUGACUUCCCUGUCCGCAGACAUGCUGGGACAGUGUCUGCCAGUGCCCUCUCCAACCUUGGCUGGACAGGCAGUUAUGGCCCCAAGUGCUUUGCCUUUAGUGACUGGUCUUCCCUGUGGUACGUCCUGCUGGACUCUUUGCUUGGAAAACACACUUUGGGGUUGAGGACAAGCUCCUUGUACAUCUAG